Molecule: long non-coding RNA, 314 nt
Organism: Fukomys damarensis (Damara mole-rat)
Lineage: Eukaryota; Metazoa; Chordata; Mammalia; Rodentia; Bathyergidae
Exons: 3
Source: RefSeq, a predicted model, not a curated record
CUGUUGCUUCCUGAGACCAGGGACACAAGACUGUUUUCUGAACGCCUCCGGCUGGCCCGCCUCACUCCAGAGCUGGACUCCCAGCCAUGAGGACCCUCACCCUCCUCGCUGCCAUCCUCCUGCUGGCCCUGCAGGCCCAGGCUGAGCCUCUCCCAGGAAGAGCUGACCACAUUGAGGAAGAGGAGCAGGUUGCAGUUAUCUUUCCUGGGGAGGAAAGCUCCGCUCUUCAAGAUGCAGGUGUAUGGAGAAGUAAGGCCUGCCGAUGCAGACUAUUCUGUCGUGGAAGGGAAAUUCUUACAGGAUUCUGCAACAAU